CCUGUAUUAAAAUAUUCUAUUAAAGUCAAUACAUGCUUGGGCAUGUAUUACUAACAUGUCCUGCAAAACUGAUUAAUAUGUUUAUCUCCUGAGAAAUUCGAUACCUUUUUCACCUGUAGGAGUAUUAAUAUUCAUGCUUGGUUGAGUUUAAUAGAAUAUUUUAAUACGGGCUAUAAUUAGCUCACAGUAGUGUUUAUUUCCCAAACAGGUUUUUCUUAAACAGGUUGUUUACAAAUGGCCAAUCACAUCCAAGGUCCAAAUUCUGAACCUAGUCAAGUUUGGAAGUAGGAUUUGCAAUCGAUGUGACCAGAGGCUCUCCGUUCUCGCCUCUUGUUUCUUUCACCUUGCAAAGAGCCUCUAGAACCAGGGGGUACACUUAAAAAUAACACACAGGCAGACCAAUUGCUGCAAUUGAACUAAGUACCAGUCAAUAUAAGUCCCUGCCUGCUCGAAUCUAGGAAGUGUGGGGUUCAUGGGGCGAAGCAGGGUCACUGAGACAAAACCAGAUCUUCAUACAAUCCAACAAUUUUGAUUAUGCAGUGCUGAAAAGUAAAAACUACCAACUCCUGGGUUGGGGGAGGUGGUAAUUUACAUUGACUGGUAUUGUACACUAAAUAGAUAUGGGGUGCCAUUGAUCAGAAUCAUCAGAUGAACAGCUGCCAGUUUCGAUGUCUCAGGACUGCUGUGAUUCAAACAUGUUCUGGAGAUUAUAAGUACUAUUUUAACUUUGCUACACACUCAUAUUUUGGAACAAUUUCCAAGGACAAACUGACUAUAAAGAUCUGUAUAAAAUAUAAAUCUUACUUUAAAAUUUCCAUCAUAGAAAAUGCAAUUCACCUGCCUGCAAAAAGGUUAAUCCACUUGGAACGUUUUCCGUGGUUGUGGACAUUCAUUCCACAUCGAAUGCAUCCUGUCCAACAUCAGCGAUUGCCCAGUUUGUCAAGCAACAACGUUGGCAAAUGUUGAAGCUCUUGGA
RNAcentral lists this long non-coding RNA (976 nucleotides) under Paramuricea clavata. The record is from RNAcentral. Lineage: Eukaryota; Metazoa; Cnidaria; Anthozoa; Malacalcyonacea; Plexauridae.